AUUGAACGCUGGCGGCAGGCUUAACACAUGCAAGUCGAGCGGGGUGAUGGUGCUUGCACUAUCACUUAGCGGCGGACGGGUGAGUAAUGCUUAGGAAUCUGCCUAUUAGUGGGGGACAACAUCUCGGAAGGGAUGCUAAUACCGCAUACGUCCUACGGGAGAAAGCAGGGGAUCACUUGUGACCUUGCGCUAAUAGAUGAGCCUAAGUCGGAUUAGCUAGUUGGUGGGGUAAUGGCCUACCAAGGCGACGAUCUGUAGCGGGUCUGAGAGGAUGAUCCGCCACACUGGGACUGAGACACGGCCCAGACUCCUACGGGAGGCAGCAGUGGGGAAUAUUGGACAAUGGGGGGAACCCUGAUCCAGCCAUGCCGCGUGUGUGAAGAAGGCCUUAUGGUUGUAAAGCACUUUAAGCGAGGAGGAGGCUCUUUUGGUUAAUACCCAAGAUGAGUGGACGUUACUCGCAGAAUAAGCACUGGCUAACUCUGUGCCAGCCGCCGCAGUAA
Molecule: ribosomal RNA, 503 nt
Filed under: uncultured bacterium
Lineage: Bacteria
Description: partial 16S ribosomal RNA
Rfam family: Bacterial small subunit ribosomal RNA
Source: RNAcentral